RNAcentral lists this long non-coding RNA (656 nucleotides) under Olea europaea (common olive). RNAcentral's name for it is "long non-coding RNA (OEUR_LNC008757)". The record is from RNAcentral. Lineage: Eukaryota; Viridiplantae; Streptophyta; Magnoliopsida; Lamiales; Oleaceae.
CCAUACUUCUCCUCUCCAUACUCAGUCCUUUCGGACUUCCCACCAUACCCAUAACCCCCACCACCUUCCUCUUCUCCAUGGCUAGUCUUCCUUCCAUACCCACCUGCUCCAUACUCAGACUCCGUCUUCAGCACAUAGCCGGACCCAUAUUCAGAACUUGGCUCCUCGUACUCACUCUUCCUCCCAUAAACCACAGGUUCACUAUAUUCCGACCCGGGUCUUCUGCCGUAACCGGAUCCGUACUCCGAAGGGGGUUCCUCGUAAUCACUCUUUCUAACAUACCCUGAUCCGUAUUCAGAGGUGGGUUCCUCGAACUGUGGUUUCCUCCCAUGGCCGGAUCCGUAUUCAGAACUGGGUACCUCGUAUUUUGGCUCCCGCCCAUACCCGGAUCCAUACUCGGAAAAUGGCUCCUCGUACUGCGGUUUCCUACCAUAACCAGAUACAUAUUCAGAACCUGGUGCCUGGUACUCUGGUUUUCGACCAAACUCCAACCCGGGCCUCUCGUAAGUGUAACCAUAUUCAGGUCUUCCAGAUCCGAACCCUCCAGGUGGACCACCACCAUACUCGCUCCCUCCACCAGGCUGAAACCCAUAAUUAGGCCUGGGCCCAUCAUACCCAUAUCCAACCGGCGGUGGCGCUCCAGCAUACACAGGCGG